Molecule: non-coding RNA, 46 nt
Organism: Takifugu rubripes (torafugu)
Lineage: Eukaryota; Metazoa; Chordata; Actinopteri; Tetraodontiformes; Tetraodontidae
Source: Rfam
AAAAGGGCUCUUUUCAGAGCCACACACAAUCUAAUAAAGAGCUAAU